This is a long non-coding RNA of Sapajus apella (tufted capuchin), 255 nucleotides long. RefSeq lists it as uncharacterized. The record is from RefSeq and is a predicted model, not a curated record. The transcript has 2 exons. NCBI's taxonomy places the organism in Eukaryota, Metazoa, Chordata, Mammalia, Primates, Cebidae.
UCUUUUUUUUCUUUUUCUUUUUGUUCAUUUUUUAAACUUUUCACCUGUCAGAAAAUACUGGGAUUUUGAACAGAGAUCAGAAGUUGACAGAAGUAAGUAUAAAAAUGAACCUACCAACUUGUUCCUGAGUUACUGUCACUGUUGGAAGAGAUGUGAUCUUUUCCUUGUCAGCUGGGGGAGGACCUGUGUUUUCCAGUUGUCCUAAAAGCUACAAAAAAAAAAAAAAAAAAAAAAAAAAAAAGAGAGAGAGAGAGA